Molecule: ribosomal RNA, 452 nt
Filed under: uncultured bacterium
Lineage: Bacteria
Description: bacterial SSU rRNA
Rfam family: Bacterial small subunit ribosomal RNA
Source: RNAcentral
UAACACAUGCAAGUCGAGCGAGGAGAGUCCUUCGGGAUGAUCCUAGCGGCGGACGGGUGAGUAACACGUGGGCAACCUGCCUCAUAGAGAGGAAUAGCCUUCCGAAAGGGAGAUUAAUACCUCAUAACAUGCAGUUUCGCAUGGAACAGCAAUUAAAGGAGUAAUCCGCUAUGAGAUGGGCCCGCGGCGCAUUAGCUAGUUGGUGAGGUAAUGGCUCACCAAGGCGACGAUGCGUAGCCGACCUGAGAGGGUGAUCGGCCACAUUGGGACUGAGACACGGCCCAGACUCCUACGGGAGGCAGCAGUGGGGAAUAUUGCACAAUGGGGGAAACCCUGAUGCAAGCAACGCCGCGUGAGUGAUGACGGCCUUCGGGUUGUAAAGCUCUGUCUUCAGGGACGAUAAUGACGGUACCUGAGGAGGAAGCCACGGCUAACUACGUGCCAGCCGCAGC